RNAcentral lists this ribosomal RNA (453 nucleotides) under uncultured bacterium. RNAcentral describes it as "bacterial SSU rRNA". It matches the Rfam family "Bacterial small subunit ribosomal RNA", at positions 24 to 472 of the family's 1533-position model. The record is from RNAcentral.
UCAGAGUGAACGCUGGCGGCAGGCCUAACACAUGCAAGUCGAACGGCAGCACAGCAGUAGCAAUACUGUGGGUGGCGAGUGGCGGACGGGUGAGGAAUACAUCGGAAUCUACCUUGUCGUGGGGGAUAACGUAGGGAAACUUACGCUAAUACCGCAUACGACCUACGGGUGAAAGCGGAGGACCGCAAGGCUUCGCGCGAUAAGAUGAGCCGAUGUCGGAUUAGCUAGUUGGCGGGGUAAUGGCCCACCAAGGCGACGAUCCGUAGCUGGUCUGAGAGGAUGAUCAGCCACACUGGAACUGAGACACGGUCCAGACUCCUACGGGAGGCAGCAGUGGGGAAUAUUGGACAAUGGGCGCAAGCCUGAUCCAGCCAUGCCGCGUGGGUGAAGAAGGCCUUCGGGUUGUAAAGCCCUUUUGUCCGGAAAGAAAAGCAUCGGGCUAAUACCUCGGUG